UACGAAGGGGGCUAGCGUUGUUCGGAAUCACUGGGCGUAAAGCGCACGUAGGCGGAUCUUUAAGUCAGAGGUGAAAUCCCAAGGCUCAACCUUGGAACUGCCUUUGAUACUGGGGAUCUCGAGUCCGGGAGAGGUGAGUGGAACUGCGAGUGUAGAGGUGAAAUUCGUAGAUAUUCGCAAGAACACCAGUGGCGAAGGCGGCUCACUGGUCCGGAUCUGACGCUGAGGCG
This 230-nucleotide ribosomal RNA is filed under the name uncultured microorganism. RNAcentral describes it as "partial 16S ribosomal RNA". It matches the Rfam family "Bacterial small subunit ribosomal RNA", at positions 524 to 753 of the family's 1533-position model. The record is from RNAcentral.